GAUGAAGAACGCAGCGAAAUGCGAUAAGUAGUGUGAAUUGCAGAAUUCAGUGAAUCAUCGAAUCUUUGAACGCACAUUGCGCCCCUCGGUAUUCCGGGGGGCAUGCCUGUCCGAGCGUCAUUGCUGCCCUCAAGCACGGCUUGUGUGUUGGGCCUCCGCCCCCCGGCUCCCGGGGGGCGGGCCCGAAAGGCAGCGGCGGCACCGCGUCCGGUCCUCGAGCGUAUGGGGCUUCGUCACCCGCUCCGUAGGCCCGGCCGGCGCCCGCCGGCGACCCCCCUCAAUCUUUCCAGGUUGACCUCGGAUCAGGUAGGGAUACCCGCUGAACUUAAGCAUAUCAAUAGCGGAGGA
RNAcentral lists this unclassified non-coding RNA (348 nucleotides) under soil metagenome. RNAcentral's name for it is "partial contains 5.8S ribosomal RNA, internal transcribed spacer 2, and large subunit ribosomal RNA". The stretch from base 1 to 120 matches the Rfam family "5.8S ribosomal RNA", at positions 35 to 154 of the family's 154-position model. The record is from RNAcentral.